This 223-nucleotide non-coding RNA is filed under the name Clostridium tetani 12124569. Its description in RNAcentral is "T-box". It matches the Rfam family "T-box leader". From Rfam's summary of the family: Uncharged tRNA acts as the effector for transcription antitermination of genes in the T-box leader family. T-boxes are found upstream of many aminoacyl-tRNA synthetase genes and some amino acid biosynthetic genes usually in Gram-positive bacteria. Lineage: Bacteria; Bacillati; Bacillota; Clostridia; Eubacteriales; Clostridiaceae. The record is from RNAcentral.
UUAAAAGCUAAGAAAAGGAAGAGUAAAUAAAACCACUAUUUAUAAGAGAGGAAAAUUCUUAGGCUGAAAAAUUUUCUUAAUAGUAUUUAUUGAAAACCACCUUAGAGCUGAAUACUGAAAUUAAGUAAGUAUUUCCGUUACCUGCGUUAAAGGAUCUCAAAGGAUAAUAAGGCAAAAGCCUAUUAUCAAAUUUGGGUGGAACCACGAAAUACUCGUCCCAUUA